Molecule: ribosomal RNA, 410 nt
Filed under: Trebouxia decolorans
Lineage: Eukaryota; Viridiplantae; Chlorophyta; Trebouxiophyceae; Trebouxiales; Trebouxiaceae
Description: partial 23S ribosomal RNA
Rfam family: Bacterial large subunit ribosomal RNA
Source: RNAcentral
GGACAGAAAGACCCUAUGAAGCUUUACUGUAACCUGGAAUUGAAUUUGGGCUUUUCUUGCGCAGUCUAGGUGGGAGGCGUUGACAGUUCCCUUCCGGGGGGGCUUGAGCCACCAGUGAGAGACCACUCUGGAGAAGCUAGAAUUCUAAUGGCGAUCCUUGAAUCAGGACGCUUGACAGUUUCAGGCGGGCAGUUUGACUGGGGCGGUCGUCUCCUAAAAGGUAACGGAGAUGUGCAAAGGUUCCCUCAGGCUGGACGGAAAUCAGCCGAAGAGUGUAAAGGCAUAAGGGAGCUUGACUGCAAGACCUACAAGUCGAGCAGGGGCGAAAGCCGGCCUUAGUGAUCCGACGGUACCGAGUGGAAGGGCCGUCGCUCAACGGAUAAAAGUUACUCUAGGGAUAACAGGCUGAA